AACAAAAGUGGGACGACACAUUGAAAAUUGAUAGCACUUAGAUGUCACCAUCUCGAUAUAUUUUUCCCGGAAUAUCCGCGCGCACACGUGCAACGACUCCCAAAAAAUUAAUCCCGAAAUGUAUAGGACGGCGGUUGCGCUCUGUAUUCCUCUUGUAAAGGGGAGAGAAGAAUGAGACGUGUAUUCAUCUUCGGAGCUGAGAGCGUUGUAAAUGCACGGUGGCAUUAUGGAGGUUUCGUGGAAGCGAAAUGGGAGCAGGCGAGAGGGCAGCAGAGAGGAGAGGGUUCGUAAAGACCGCGCUGCAUCGAACCGCAUGCGAUACGAAGAAAUCGAAAUUUUCCUGGAACUUUGCCUCCUCCGUGGAGCAUCCUCCCCCGGCCCUUCCUCUCGGCGCGGCGCGCACGUGUCCGCAAACAUGCGUGAUGCACUAUACUCCCGGCAACGUCAUUUCUACGGAAGUUUGAGGGAAGCAAAUUGCUUUAUUCACGCAAAAUGAAAUUUUUAUCUGACAAUAAUAACGAUGACGUUAUCGUGCGAAAGUUUUAUUUACUAUAAUGACGAAUAUGUAUCCACCUCGGAAGUUCUUAAUAUGCAACCGAUAUAUGUAUUUUAAAAGCGAAAUAAAUUGAUUUUUCGAUUGAA
This is a long non-coding RNA of Wasmannia auropunctata (little fire ant), 642 nucleotides long. RefSeq lists it as uncharacterized. The transcript has 2 exons. Lineage: Eukaryota; Metazoa; Arthropoda; Insecta; Hymenoptera; Formicidae. The record is from RefSeq and is a predicted model, not a curated record.